GACGAACGCUGGCGGCGUGCUUAACACAUGCAAGUCGAACGGAAAGGCCCAGCUUUUGUGGGGUGCUCGAGUGGCGAACGGGUGAGUAACACGUGAGUAACCUGCCCUUGACUUUGGGAUAACUUCAGGAAACUGGGGCUAAUACCGGAUAGGAGCUCCUGCUGCAUGGUGGGGGUUAGAAAGUUUCGGCGGUUGGGGAUGGACUCGCGGCUUAUCAGCUUGUUGGUGGGGUAGUGGCUUACCAAGGCUUUGACGGGUAGCCGGCCUGAGAGGGUGACCGGCCACAUUGGGACUGAGAUACGGCCCAGACUCCUACGGGAGGCAGCAGUGGGGAAUAUUGCACAAUGGGCGGAAGCCUGAUGCAGCAACGCCGCGUGCGGGAUGACGGCCUUCGGGUUGUAAACCGCUUUCGCCUGUGACGAAGCGUGAGUGACGGUAAUGGGUAAAGAAGCACCGGCUAACUACGUG
Molecule: ribosomal RNA, 468 nt
Filed under: uncultured bacterium
Lineage: Bacteria
Description: partial 16S ribosomal RNA
Rfam family: Bacterial small subunit ribosomal RNA
Source: RNAcentral